AUUGAACGCUGGCGGCAGGCUUAACACAUGCAAGUCGAGCGGUAGCACAGGGGAGCUUGCUCCCUGGGUGACGAGCGGCGGACGGAUGAGUAAUGUCUGGGAAACUGCCUGAUGGAGGGGGAUAACUACUGGAAACGGUAGCUAAUACCGCAUAACGUCGCAAGACCAAAGAGGGGGACCUUCGGGCCUCUUGCCAUCAGAUGUGCCCAGAUGGGAUUAGCUAGUAGGUGGGGUAAUGGCUCACCUAGGCGACGAUCCCUAGCUGGUCUGAGAGGAUGACCAGCCACACUGGAACUGAGACACGGUCCAGACUCCUACGGGAGGCAGCAGUGGGGAAUAUUGCACAAUGGGCGCAAGCCUGAUGCAGCCAUGCCGCGUGUGUGAAGAAGGCCUUCGGGUUGUAAAGCACUUUCAGCGAGGAGGAAGGUGGUGAGCUUAAUACGUUCAUCAAUUGACGUUACUCGCAGAAGAAGCACCGGCUAACUCCGUG
RNAcentral lists this ribosomal RNA (490 nucleotides) under uncultured bacterium. RNAcentral's name for it is "partial 16S ribosomal RNA". It matches the Rfam family "Bacterial small subunit ribosomal RNA", at positions 30 to 507 of the family's 1533-position model. The record is from RNAcentral.